UACAGAUGGUUCCUACUCCUAUGAAGAGAAGGUAACAAUAGGCUAUGAGGAAGUGGAAAGCAGCGACUGGGCAAUAAAACAGCAGAGGAAAUUUGGAAUAGAUGAACUUAGCUCUGCAGUGUGGCAGACCACAGGUGUCCAAGCUCGGUGACAUAUCAGCUGAAAUAAUACAGCAGUGAAGACAUAGCCCCUGAGAAUGUGGUGAAAGCUUCAACUGAGAGCUCUCUCUAUACCUGCUGAAAGGUAACUACUUACACAUACAAGGUCAGAUGAGAACUUUA
Molecule: long non-coding RNA, 281 nt
Organism: Numida meleagris (helmeted guineafowl)
Lineage: Eukaryota; Metazoa; Chordata; Aves; Galliformes; Numididae
Exons: 3
Source: RefSeq, a predicted model, not a curated record